Molecule: long non-coding RNA, 772 nt
Organism: Trifolium pratense (red clover)
Lineage: Eukaryota; Viridiplantae; Streptophyta; Magnoliopsida; Fabales; Fabaceae
Exons: 4
Source: RefSeq, a predicted model, not a curated record
UUUACUUUUCUGUCUAUAUACCUUCCGCCGUUUCAUUUUUUGCCUUCACUUUUGCUUGGCUUCUUCUCUGUAACACAUGCCUCUGUUUGAGAUGGUGCUUCGAGCGUGACUUGCUGGUGACAAAGAACCGAAACCCUUCUAGUUCAAUUUCGCCCAUGUCCCUCAAGAAGAUACAUCUCCCGUCGUUACUUUCUCCCAUCGAGAAAACAUAGAGCCACUAUCAAGAUAGAUUCACUUGUUGUUACAUCUCUUCAACUUGUGUUGAGUUGGAUCUGAUCUAAUUCCCCCAAAUAUGGAACCCUAAUUCAGUAAUUUGUAUUUAACCAAAUCUUUGGCUCACAUGAUACAAGAGUAUAUCUCUGAUUUGUUUUAUUUCAAUUGCAGAAAUGAAACUAAAAAGUUAAAAGUUUGCUUUCAGAGUGCUGUAUAAACAAGUAUAACUAGAAGAAUAUGAAAGAGUUGCUUCUCUACUUGAUGAGGAGAGGAAGAGUAUGCUACUUCUAGUUGAUGAGAAGGUCAAGCCUAUGUUGUUUCAAGUUGGCAAAUGGAUAUGCAAACUGAAGUAUGACAAUGUGCAAAGGCUACUUGAACAAGUUUUGAUGCGGAUGAGAAACAAGUUUUAUUGGGACCCUUGCAUUUUAUCAUAUGUAAAUGUAUUUUAGUGACAAUAUUUGUAGAGUUCAUUAUUUACUUGAGCUGAAAAUAGUUGUACAUUAACGUGAUUUUGUAAUAUUUGAAUGAAAUAAUUUAUGUGUCUUGGUUUAUUUCAAAA